UACGAAGGGGGCGAGCGUUGUUCGGAAUUACUGGGCGUAAAGGGCGCGUAGGCGGUCCGUUGCGUCAGGCGUGAAAGCCCCGGGCUCAACCUGGGAACGGCGCUUGAUACGGGCGGGCUCGAGUUCGGGAGAGGUGAGCGGAAUUCCCAGUGUAGAGGUGAAAUUCGUAGAUAUUGGGAAGAACACCGGUGGCGAAGGCGGCUCACUGGCCCGAGACUGACGCUGAGGCGCGACAGCGUGGGGAGCAAACAGG
This 253-nucleotide unclassified non-coding RNA is filed under the name uncultured Alphaproteobacteria bacterium. RNAcentral's name for it is "contains 16S-23S intergenic spacer region". It matches the Rfam family "Bacterial small subunit ribosomal RNA", at positions 524 to 776 of the family's 1533-position model. The record is from RNAcentral. Lineage: Bacteria; Pseudomonadati; Pseudomonadota; Alphaproteobacteria.